UGGCGGCGUGCCUAACACAUGCAAGUCGAGCGAGGAGAUUCCUUCGGGAUGAUCCUAGCGGCGACGGGUGAGUAACACGUGGGCAACCUGCCUCAUAGAGAGGAAUAGCCUUCCGAAAGGGAGAUUAAUACCUCAUAACAUUGCAGUUUCGCAUGGAACAGCAAUUAAAGGAGUAAUCCGCUAUGAGAUGGGCCCGCGGCGCAUUAGCUAGUUGGUGAGGUAACGGCUCACCAAGGCGACGAUGCGUAGCCGACCUGAGAGGGUGAUCGGCCACAUUGGGACUGAGACACGGCCCAGACUCCUACGGGAGGCAGCAGUGGGGAAUAUUGCACAAUGGGGGAAACCCUGAUGCCAGCAACGCCGCGUGAGUGAUGACGGCCUUCGGGUUGUAAAGCUCUGUCUUCAGGGACGAUAAUGACGGUACCUGAGGAGGAAGCCACGGCUAACUACGUGCCAGCCGCCGC
RNAcentral lists this ribosomal RNA (464 nucleotides) under uncultured bacterium. RNAcentral's name for it is "bacterial SSU rRNA". It matches the Rfam family "Bacterial small subunit ribosomal RNA", at positions 37 to 518 of the family's 1533-position model. The record is from RNAcentral.